CCUACGGGAGGCAGCAGUGAGGAAUAUUGGUCAAUGGACGAGAGUCUGAACCAGCCAAGUAGCGUGAAGGAUGACUGCCCUAUGGGUUGUAAACUUCUUUUAUAUGGGAAUAAAAUGUUCCACGUGUGGGAUUUUGUAUGUACCAUAUGAAUAAGGAUCGGCUAACUCCGUGCCAGCAGCCGUGGUAAUACGGAGGAUCCGAGCGUUAUCCGGAUUUAUUGGGUUUAAAGGGAGCGUAGGGGGAUUGUUAAGUCAGUUGUGAAAGUUUGCGGCUCAACCGUAAAAUUGCAGUUGAAACUGGCAGUCUUGAGUACAGUAGAGGUGGGCGGAAUUCGUGGUGUAGCGGUGAAAUGCUUAGAUAUCACGAAGAACUCCGAUUGCGAAGGCAGUUCACUGGACUGCAACUGACACUGAGGCUCGAAAGUGUGGGUAUCAAACAGGAUUAGAUACCCCUGUAGUC
Molecule: ribosomal RNA, 460 nt
Filed under: uncultured bacterium
Lineage: Bacteria
Description: partial 16S ribosomal RNA
Rfam family: Bacterial small subunit ribosomal RNA
Source: RNAcentral